UACGGAGGGUGCAAGCGUUAUCCGGAUUCAUUGGGCGUAAAGGGUGCGUAGGCGGCGCGGUAAGUCGGGUGUGAAAUCUCGGAGCUUAACUCCGAAACUGCAUUCGAUACUGCCGUGCUUGAGGACUGGAGAGGAGACUGGAAUUUACGGUGUAGCGGUGAAAUGCGUAGAUAUCGUAAGGAAGACCAGUGGCGAAGGCGGGUCUCUGGACAGUUCCUGACGCUGAGGCACGAAAGCGUGGGGAGCAAACGGG
This 253-nucleotide ribosomal RNA is filed under the name uncultured bacterium. Its description in RNAcentral is "partial 16S ribosomal RNA". It matches the Rfam family "Bacterial small subunit ribosomal RNA", at positions 524 to 776 of the family's 1533-position model. The record is from RNAcentral.